GGCCCUGCCAGUGUCUCCGCCGGUUGAAAGCGCGUGUCUGCGUCGGGUUCUGUUGGAGUGCGUUCGGUGCGCCGUGGGUCCGCGCUGCUUCCACCCAACUUCCUGUUAGUUUCUCUCCUGUCACAAUGGCAUGAUCUCGGCUCACUGCGACCUCUGCUUCCUGGGUUCAAGGAUUCUCCUGCCUCAGCCUCCCAAGUAGCUGGGAUUACAGGAAUCUCACCAGUGACACGCGUUUGUGAAAAGCUGUGAAUAUUCAGUGCCACAGGGUUAAACCUCGGUACAGAAGCGAGACCCUGCUGGGCAGAGAAAGGGUGACCUGGAAGGUGUGUGAGGGCCCCGCCCAUGGGCCCCUGUGAUGGUCAUGGCCUCAAGAAUCACAGUCCAGGUUACAUUAGUUAUACACUCUGGAGGUGACUUGACCUGUCAUUGUGAACAAUUAUUGCUCUUGGACGACCCAGGACAUAGGCCAGCCAGUACGUACCCCAGUGUGUUGGAGAAUCGCGCUCGGCUUCUUCCUCUGUGCUGAGUCAUGAAAGUUGCCGGAGCAGGUGCAGUUACACAACCUCCAGGUAUGAUCCUGUUUAAGGACUGGAUUUAGGAUAACUACUUAGAGGUUAAAAGUCACAAGGGUGUAUGGAUGAGGCUGGAGUGAUCUGGGACCAAAGACAUCUAGGCUUGCUGUCAAGGCUUCUGAUCAACAUGAGAUGACCGCCGUGUGGUAAACUGA
This 727-nucleotide long non-coding RNA is filed under the name Homo sapiens (human). Its description in RNAcentral is "HSALNT0289653". The record is from RNAcentral. Lineage: Eukaryota; Metazoa; Chordata; Mammalia; Primates; Hominidae.